GACGAACGCUGGCGGCGUGCUUAACACAUGCAAGUCGAACGGUAAGGCCCUUCGGGGUACACGAGUGGCGAACGGGUGAGUAACACGUGGUGAUCUGCCCUGCACUUCGGGAUAAGCCUGGGAAACUGGGUCUAAUACCGGAUAGGACCAUGGACUUCACGGUUUGUGGUGGAAAGCUUUUGCGGUGUGGGAUGGGCCCGCGGCCUAUCAGCUUGUUGGUGGGGUAAUGGCCUACCAAGGCGACGACGGGUAGCCGGCCUGAGAGGGUGUCCGGCCACACUGGGACUGAGAUACGGCCCAGACUCCUACGGGAGGCAGCAGUGGGGAAUAUUGCACAAUGGGCGCAAGCCUGAUGCAGCGACGCCGCGUGAGGGAUGACGGCCUUCGGGUUGUAACUACUUCAAUAGGACGAAGCGCAAGUGACGGUACC
Molecule: ribosomal RNA, 430 nt
Filed under: uncultured bacterium
Lineage: Bacteria
Description: bacterial SSU rRNA
Rfam family: Bacterial small subunit ribosomal RNA
Source: RNAcentral